RNAcentral lists this ribosomal RNA (446 nucleotides) under uncultured bacterium. RNAcentral describes it as "bacterial SSU rRNA". It matches the Rfam family "Bacterial small subunit ribosomal RNA", at positions 329 to 792 of the family's 1533-position model. The record is from RNAcentral.
UUCCAGACUCCUACGGGAGGCAGCAGUGGGGAAUAUUGCACAAUGGGGGAAACCCUGAUGCAGCAACGCCGCGUGAGUGAAGAAGUAUUUCGAUAUGUAAAGCUCUAUCAGCAGGGAAGAAGAUGACGGUACCUGACCAAGAAGCCCCGGCUAACUACGUGCCAGCAGCCGCGGUAAUACGUAGGGGGCAAGCGUUAUCCGGAUUUACUGGGUGUAAAGGGAGCGUAGACGGCCAUGCAAGUCUGAUGUGAAAACCCGGGGCUCAACCCCGGGACUGCAUUGGAAACUGUGCGGCUGGAGUGUCGGAGAGGCAAGUGGAAUUCCUAGUGUAGCGGUGAAAUGCGUAGAUAUUAGGAGGAACACCGGUGGCGAAGGCGGCUUACUGGACCAUAACUGACGUUGAGGCUCGAAAGCGUGGGGAGCGAACAGGAUUAGAUACCCCAGUA